UACAGAGGUGCCAAGCGUUAGGCGGAAUCACUGGGCUUAAAGCGCGUGUAGGUGGGUCGUUAAGUGUCCGCGUGAAAUCCCACGGCUCAACCGUGGAACUGCUGGGCAUACUGCGGGUCUUGGGCCAACUAGGGGCAGCCGGAACAAGCGGUGGAGCGGUGAAAUGCGUAGAUAUCGCUUGGAACGCCGAAGGUGAAAACAGGCUGCUGGGGUUGCGCCGACGCUGAGACACGAAAGCCAGGGGAGCAGACGGG
RNAcentral lists this ribosomal RNA (254 nucleotides) under uncultured bacterium. RNAcentral's name for it is "partial 16S ribosomal RNA". It matches the Rfam family "Bacterial small subunit ribosomal RNA", at positions 524 to 776 of the family's 1533-position model. The record is from RNAcentral.